CGGGGCGUGGCGCAGACUGGUAGCGCACCUGCCUUGGGCGCAGGGGGUCGGAGGUUCAAAUCCUCUCGCCCCGA
Deltaproteobacteria bacterium RBG_13_52_11 is the source of this 74-nucleotide non-coding RNA. The record is from Rfam. NCBI's taxonomy places the organism in Bacteria, Deltaproteobacteria.